UAUUCAAAAUUUAUCCAUUUCUAUUGUUAAAAACACUAACAUGAUUGAUGGAAUAACCAUGCCACAUGCCACAUGUACCUCAUGGUUAUGUACACGGACCGGUUUUUAAUAGUAGAAAUGGAUGAAACUUUUAAUC
Molecule: microRNA precursor, 136 nt
Filed under: Gossypium arboreum
Lineage: Eukaryota; Viridiplantae; Streptophyta; Magnoliopsida; Malvales; Malvaceae
Description: MIR7502 microRNA precursor family
Rfam family: MIR7502 microRNA precursor family
Source: Rfam by way of RNAcentral